This is a long non-coding RNA of Astyanax mexicanus (Mexican tetra), 447 nucleotides long. RefSeq lists it as uncharacterized. The transcript is spliced from 4 exons. Lineage: Eukaryota; Metazoa; Chordata; Actinopteri; Characiformes; Acestrorhamphidae. The record is from RefSeq and is a predicted model, not a curated record.
AGGCAGCACUCUACCAACUACUACAAGUGGAGCGUUAGAUGGCACACACACUUCCCCAUUGAUCAGCAUAGAAGACAAGGUUGAAGGCAGCACUCUUCCAACUACUACAAGUGAAGCCCCAGACGACACCCACACUUCCCCAAAGAUCAGCACAGAAGACAAGGUUCAAGGCAGCACUCUUCCAACUACUACAAGUGGAGCGUUAGAUGGCACCCACACUUCCCCAUCGAUCAGCAUAGAAGACAAGGUUGAAGAGCGAAGCCGCCUCAGAACUUUCUAUUUUAUUGGAAAAAGCGUAAAUCAGUCUGAAGCUCGAGCAGCUUGCAGAGCAAAGGCCACUAUCCUGGUUACUGUGUAUAAUGAUGAAGAUAUCAAGGCACUUUCUAAUCUGACUGGAAUCAGCUGUGCAUGGACUGGUCUGUACAGGAAUAAAUUCAGUUAUAAAUG